This 631-nucleotide long non-coding RNA is filed under the name Rattus norvegicus (Norway rat). RNAcentral describes it as "long non-coding RNA NONRATT033746". The record is from RNAcentral. Lineage: Eukaryota; Metazoa; Chordata; Mammalia; Rodentia; Muridae.
UUGAAACUUAGCAAACACCAUACUUCUAAAAUGUAAUGAUUUGACAAGCAUGGGAUAGACAUUCCCAUUCCAAAUGGAAAAAAAACAUAAGCUAGAAAGAGGUAGAAGGAGGAGGUGAGUUCCAAGCAAAGUAAACCUAGCCAGUCAAUCACCUUUGUGUCUGUGACACAUGAAUACCUCUCUUUGGUAUGAUGUCCUGCCUUCUGCAUCAUUUUGGAUUGUGAUGAUGCCUUUUAGGUCACAGGAAUGGUGGUCUGCUCCUUCAGUUCUGUCAAGCAAGAUUAUAUUCAAGACACCUGGGUCGAGAACUACACACAAGGUUCUUCUGUGGAGAGAUCUUGCCUUCCUGUUCAUAGUCACAGGGUUUUCAAAAAUCUAAUACGUGAUAAAACGGGCAAGCUAUGGAAGAUACAGCUGAAAGAGAUAGCACAGCAUGAUCAAGAGAUCUGUCAAAGGAGUCAGGUCCAGUUCCAGGCCAUGUGUGACCAUCACACAGUGGUGUCUCUCCUUUUUCUGAGGUUCAUUUGCCAAAUAUUUAUACUGGAACUAUGUCCCAGAAUUUAUAUCAGAAUUAAAUAGUGUGAGACUUAGAAACUACAUUGCACUCAGGGACCACUGAUUAUUAUUUUGG